Molecule: ribosomal RNA, 253 nt
Filed under: uncultured bacterium
Lineage: Bacteria
Description: partial 16S ribosomal RNA
Rfam family: Bacterial small subunit ribosomal RNA
Source: RNAcentral
UACGUAGGGUGCGAGCGUUGUCCGGAAUUACUGGGCGUAAAGAGCUCGUAGGUGGUUUGUCGCGUUGUUCGUGAAAACCUGAGGCUUAACCUUGGGCGUGCGGGCGAUACGGGCAGACUGGAGUACUGCAGGGGAGACUGGAAUUCCUGGUGUAGCGGUGGAAUGCGCAGAUAUCAGGAGGAACACCGGUGGCGAAGGCGGCUACCUGGACAGAAACUGACGCUGAGGCGCGAAAGCUAGGGGAGCAAACAGG